Molecule: long non-coding RNA, 206 nt
Filed under: Salvia miltiorrhiza (redroot sage)
Lineage: Eukaryota; Viridiplantae; Streptophyta; Magnoliopsida; Lamiales; Lamiaceae
Description: long non-coding RNA (SMIL_LNC003895)
Source: RNAcentral
UUAGUGAAACUUUUAGCAAUAAAAUAACAAUAAAUAUAUGCAGCCACAUUGUGACCACCCACCCACACACUAGUAUGAUAAGGAAAAUCUUGAUUUAUUUAAUUUAUUUUUUAAAAUAAAAAUAUAAUUUAGUUAUUUUACUAUAUUCUUUACAUUGUACUUAUUUAUUUUUUUUUUUCAUUUUUUUAAUUGUUUUUAAUAAAAAU